This 462-nucleotide ribosomal RNA is filed under the name uncultured Methanosaeta sp. RNAcentral's name for it is "bacterial SSU rRNA". It matches the Rfam family "Archaeal small subunit ribosomal RNA", at positions 876 to 1338 of the family's 1478-position model. The record is from RNAcentral. Lineage: Archaea; Methanobacteriati; Methanobacteriota; Methanomicrobia; Methanotrichales; Methanotrichaceae.
GCACCACAACGGGUGGAGCUUGCGGUUUAAUUGGAUUCAACGCCGGAAAUCUUACCGGGACCGACAGCAAUAUGAAGGCCAGGCUGAAGACUUUGCCGGAUUAGCUGAGAGGUGGUGCAUGGCCGUCGUCAGUUCGUACUGUGAAGCAUCCUGUUAAGUCAGGCAACGAGCGAGACCCACGCCCACAGUUGCCAGCGUACUCUCUGGAGUGACGGGUACACUGUGGGACCGCCGCUGCUAAAGCGGAGGAAGGAAUGGGCAACGGUAGGUCAGUAUGCCCCGAAUAUCCCGGGCUACACGCGAGCUACAAUGGUUGGUACAAUGGGUAUCUACCCCGAAAGGGGACGGGAAUCUCCUAAAACCAAUCUUAGUUCGGAUUGAGGGCUGCAACUCGCCCUCAUGAAGCUGGAAUCCGUAGUAAUCGCGUUUCAACAGAACGCGGUGAAUACGUCCCUGCUCCUU